Gymnopus androsaceus JB14 is the source of this 100-nucleotide non-coding RNA. NCBI's taxonomy places the organism in Eukaryota, Fungi, Basidiomycota, Agaricomycetes, Agaricales, Omphalotaceae. The record is from the annotation of a GenBank genome assembly.
GGUCCAGUAGUGUAGUGGUUAUCACUCGGGAUUCUGAUGCCCUGAUGCCCUGGUAAAGAUAUCAUUUCCCGUAACCCAGGUUCGAGUCCUGGCUAGACCU